GGGGUGACUAGUGGCAGAGUGAGGGAAGGGGUGACUAGUGGCAGAGUGAGGGAAGGAAGGGGUGACUAGUGACAGAGUGAGGGAGGUGGUGACUGUCACUAGUCACCACCUCCCUCACUCUGUCACUAGUCACCACCUCCCUCUGUCACUACUCCCUCCCUCCUUCUGUCACUAGUCACGCCCUCCCUCACUCUGUCACCAGUCAUCCCCUUCCCUCACUCUGUCACCAGUCAUCCCC
Molecule: non-coding RNA, 238 nt
Organism: Pelobates cultripes (western spadefoot toad)
Lineage: Eukaryota; Metazoa; Chordata; Amphibia; Anura; Pelobatidae
Source: the annotation of a GenBank genome assembly